AUGGCCGCCAAGGUACUCUCUCGAUCUGCUUCCCUUUCCCUUUCCUUUUUUCCUUCCCUUCCCUCCCUCAUGCGCAGCCUGCUUUGGUUUCCUUGCAGUGCACAGACGCAACCGCACACGCGCAGCAGCGUUGCUGAUUUGUUGUGUGAGGCAGCAGGCGAGGUAAAUUUGACCUUUUGGCCCAAAAGGAUCAAUGUGCUGGAUGAUGAAUCAAUCUCUAUAUAUCUGUUAUUGAAUGGCUGCCCUGUGAAUGGUUCUACACUCUGCGAUGAACAGAUCGUUGCGCGGCAUGGCUUGUCGGCAUGUUCAUGUAAUGAGUUGUUGGUUGCCAUAGCAUAUAGAUCACUUAUAAAUGAAAAUGGCCGAUUUAACUCAGCUCGGUCCAUUUUAACUCAGUUCAUUAAACUGAAAGAUGCUCUUGUCUGGCCCUUGAAUAAAAUUCCACUAGGCCUAUGCACCGUUGGACGGGGAGAUAUGUUGGAUGUUCAUGCAGAGCCAUGUACCAUUCUAUUCUCUGUGACCCUGACGACGGAGGCUGCCAGGACAGAGCCAAUGGCUCCGGCCAGCGAAGGGAAGGCAGAUGGCGAGUGGGAAGCUAUAGCCUCCUGCAUGCGCAUGGUAGAUUCAGUUGUGCAACUUGCAAAACCCAGAUUGCAACGCGGCUCGGUGGGUGUUGUGCUCUUCAACCACUUGGAGGCGGACUUUGUCGUGAAGCAUGUUGGCCACGUCGAACAGAUGAUCAUCCAGGUGAUUUUGACACCAGAGGUCUUCGAGGUGGAGGUCCUCGACGCCACCGUUCGGGGGAGGGAGGAUUCGGGUACAUUGGCGUCUGAACUCCGAGCCUUGGUAGAUACAUUUAGAGAAGCGAUCUGUUUAGGUUGGUGGUGGACCACUAGGGGAGAAACAUCAGAUUCACUAGCAAGUCUGAAUGCUCUUCAGGUGGUAUUGAGGCGGCAACUGAAAGAACAGAGAUUUCUUCUUAUUCUGGAUGAUGUAUGGCCCAGCGCCAAUCAAGAAUGGCAGAGAUUCUCAGCUCCACUAAGGUUGCUGAUCUUGUUGGGAGUUCUUCAAGAACUGUGCCUUCCUACAGAUAUAUUUUGGGAGUUCUUCAAGAACUGUGCAUUCAGUAAAAAGAACCCAGAGUCAUAUCCUCAACUGCAAGACAUUGGUCAGAGCAUUGCCUCUAGGUUGUGCGGGUCUCCUCUGGCUGCCAAAACACUCGGGCGCUUGUUGAAUAUGGAGCUGACUAAGCGGCACUGGGUAACCGUCCAGAAUAGUGAAUUGUGGGAGCUACCACAUGAGGAGAAUGAGAUAUUACCUGCCCUUCAACUGAGCUACUUGUAUCUCCCACAGGAACUUAAGAGAUGCUUUGCAUUUUGUUCUAUUUUCCAAAAAGAUUAUAGCUUUGAAAGAGAUAAGAUAGUUGACAUCUGGAUGGCACAUGGAUUUGUUGCAUCAGGAGGUAGUACACGCCUUGAAGAUAUAGGUUAUCAAUAUCUUGAUGAUUUAAGAAGCAGGUUUCUGUUUCAGGCUGAUCCCAAGUUCCCUAGACAAAGUAGAUAUGUGAUGCAUGACUUGAUCCAUGACAUGGCACAGUCUGUUUCAGUGGGUGAGUGCGUCCUGAUGCAAGAUCCGAUCUACAAGAACCUUAGGAGAAUUCCACACACAGUUCGCCAUAUGUCAAUUGAGGUGGAUAAUUUAUCUCUAAGCAGAAUAGGAGGCAUUCAACAUCUGAAUAAAUUGCAUUCACUUAGGUUUGGUAUGAGAUACAAGUUUGAUAUUUCAUGGCUCAAGCAUCUCUGCAACAUUCUCCUAUUGUGCCUAAAUGGUUGCAAUCUGUCAAAGCUACCCGAAAGUGUUUGUGAGUUGCACAGUCUUCGUUGUCUUGACAUAUCUGAUAGUAGUAUCGAAGAAUUACCUGAGAAACUCUCAUGCCUUCACAACCUAGAAUAUAUUUAUGCCGAACAGCCAGUGUUCAGAGGAAUCCAUCCCAGUAUAACAAAGCUUGUUAAAUUGCAUCGUUUAGCACUGCCAACCCAUGUUGCUAUCGAAUUGUCUAAAAUAAGUGGGCUUGGAAAUCUUUCAUGCCUACGGAACUUGCCCUAUUUUACCGUUGGAACAGAGAAUGGGCGGAGAAUUAGUGAGUUGAAGGGCAUGAAUCAGCUAACUAGAGAGCUAAAUAUCCGUUCUUUGGCUGAUGUACAAAGUAGGGAAGAAGCUGCUGAGGCUAAGCUUGUCGACAAGCAAUACCUCAAGGAAUUGAGACUAGAGUGGCAAACUCAGGCAUCCAUAUUGAGGAGUGGUGAUAACGAGAUAUUGAAAGGCCUGCAUCCUCCUUCAAGCAUUGAGAGCCUUCAUAUCGAGAAUUUUGAAGGUGAUAACUUUCCUCCGAGUUGGUUAAAUCAAGAAAACCUACCUGCUUUAAGAACGCUGAGUAUUUCCCAUUGUCAUGGCUUCAAGAAGUUUGUUCCACAAAGGAGAACACCAGAUAAAGUUCAACUACUCACAACUUUUGCUGAUGGCGGUACACUAGGUGAUUCAGUUGGUGUUGAUAGUACCCAGCAGGCUAGUGUCAAUUGCAACAAUUACAAUGGGUAUCUUCCCUUUGUAGGUCUUGCUGUUUUACAUCUUCGCUACUGUCGUUGUCACAACGUGGAUUCCAUUCUAUUGAACUCAAUCAACACAAGCAAUCUCAAGAUUCUUGUUCUCAAAGACUGCCUCGAGUUAUCGUUCAUCGGAGGAUCACAUGCUCUUUCAUCCAUUAUGAGUGUGCACAUAUUGGGCUGCCCUAAGCUUACCCAUGUACAACAACCAUUGUUCAAGAACGAACUAAAGGAGGAAUUCCUCAUUAUGGCACGAGAGAAGCAGAGAGAGCGCCGCCUCCCCCUUUCUCUGCUUUGUGCUGCCUCGCCCCUUUCUCUGCUCUGCGCCGCAAAGCUGGAUCGACGGCGACGAGCGCGUCUCCUAACCGCACCGACAGCAACGGGCUCGACGGCGACGGGCGACGCCACGUUCCCUCACCACGCCGGACGCAGAAAGACGCGCCUCCCUUGGUUUCUCGCCGAACGUGACGAGCAGGAGCAGGUACCUCCUUCCUUUCCAAUCCCUAGCCGCAACUCUCUGAACUACUCUUACGCAUGUGAUGGAUCAAUGGAUGGAUGGAUCGAUGGAUGUACUCAUGUAGUUCUUCCGUCCCAAUCCCUAGCCGUAGGGCUAGAUGGAUGGAUCAUGGAUGGAUGUAUUGUAGCCUACGCCUAUCGUCGCAACAAUGGACAAGGAAAAGGGGAAGGCGAAUGGGAAGGAGAAGGAGAAAGAGAGGCCUUGGACUUCAUUAUGAAGAGCAAGGUGCCGGUCUCGGGGAUGCAGAAGGGGAAUGGGAAGGGCAAUGCAGCAGCUACUACGCGGCUGCCGAGGAAGAUAGCAAAUGAUUGCAGCAAUGCCCCAAUCGCUGAGUUGUUGUAUAGGGUAAAAAAGAAACCUCCGCCUCGGCGUCUCCCUGACCCCACCGGCGCUGGUGUGCGUGCCGCAAUCGCCGCUGCCUCCGGCUCCGCAAACUACCAUGAGAGGUCAAAGUGA
This 3576-nucleotide ribosomal RNA is filed under the name Triticum aestivum (bread wheat). RNAcentral's name for it is "partial small subunit ribosomal RNA". Lineage: Eukaryota; Viridiplantae; Streptophyta; Magnoliopsida; Poales; Poaceae. The record is from RNAcentral.